ACAUACGACCAUAGACUAAAGAUCAUUGGGCAUCCCGUCCGCUCUGCCAUACACAAGCUUUAGAUCGGCAGAUUAGUAGUUGAGUGGGUGACCAUCAGCGAAUACCUGCUGUUGUAUGUC
Ribosomal RNA from Phialocephala subalpina, 120 nucleotides. Lineage: Eukaryota; Fungi; Ascomycota; Leotiomycetes; Helotiales; Mollisiaceae. The record is from Rfam.